UACAGAGGGUGCAAGCGUUAAUCGGAAUUACUGGGCGUAAAGCGCAUGUAGGUGGUGAUGUAAGUUUGAUGUGAAAUCCCCGGGCUUAACCUGGGAAUGGCAUUGAAUACUGUAUUGCUUGAGUCUGACAGAGGGCAGUGGAAUUUCCGGUGUAGCGGUGAAAUGCGUAGAGAUCGGAAAGAACAUCGGUGGCGAAGGCGGCUGCCUGGGUCAAGACUGACACUUAAGUGCGAAAGCGUGGGGAGCAAACAGG
This 253-nucleotide ribosomal RNA is filed under the name uncultured bacterium. Its description in RNAcentral is "partial 16S ribosomal RNA". It matches the Rfam family "Bacterial small subunit ribosomal RNA", at positions 524 to 776 of the family's 1533-position model. The record is from RNAcentral.